This 75-nucleotide small RNA is filed under the name Xanthomonas campestris. RNAcentral describes it as "sX9 sRNA". It matches the Rfam family "Xanthomonas sRNA sX9". Lineage: Bacteria; Pseudomonadati; Pseudomonadota; Gammaproteobacteria; Lysobacterales; Lysobacteraceae. The record is from RNAcentral. RNAcentral also lists the same sequence under 1 other name.
AUGUACCCACGUACAUUCCGGUUCCUCCGCGCGGUCCGCACCCACCUGACGACUGCUCGCUAAGUUUUUUUAGCC